UUUCUAAAACCCUUUAUUUAAGCUCCGUUGGCCGUCCCCAAACGUCAUGCAAUCUCUCUCUUAGGGUUUCCUGCUGGUUUCUUGAUUGCAAUUUGAAUGAUGCACUUUCCUCUAUCUGUGUCUGUACUAUAUGUUGGUAAAUCAACUUUAAAUUAUCGUGAUGCUUUGUUUUUUGGGCGAUUCAAUUUUGAUUUUGCUCUCAUAAUUAGUUUUUUUAUUUAUUUAUUUUGCAUUUGUUUACCCUCUCCUUGAAGUGCAAAUCUGAAUACGCGAGGAGAUAUAACGGAUGCAGAAAUCGAUUAAAAGGUUUAUCGUAGGGACGUGUUGCCUUUUUGUAUACUUUUUCCACAUUCCUUCUCGUACAAAACAUGAUUGUUCAGCCAAAUGUUUCAAGUGGAGAAAGAAAGUGAAGCUUCUGGAGUUGCACUUUACUGAUCGGUGAGGAGGCAUAAACAAGUCAAUCAAAUUGGAAACCAAGGCUGUUGUUGAUCUUGAAUCAAUAAGUGAUGUGAGAUGAAUUAAUUGCCAAAUGACAUCUUUAUGGACGUAAAUGAUUUUGUUGUAACCAAUGUUCUGCAGAUCUUGUGAUUCAGAGUUUAAAUAUGAAUAUAGACUUGUUCAUUUUCAA
Long non-coding RNA from Rhododendron vialii, 628 nucleotides. RefSeq lists it as uncharacterized. The record is from RefSeq and is a predicted model, not a curated record. Lineage: Eukaryota; Viridiplantae; Streptophyta; Magnoliopsida; Ericales; Ericaceae. The transcript is spliced from 2 exons.